Long non-coding RNA from Chelonia mydas (Green sea turtle), 3865 nucleotides. RefSeq lists it as uncharacterized. The transcript has 2 exons. The record is from RefSeq and is a predicted model, not a curated record. Lineage: Eukaryota; Metazoa; Chordata; Testudines; Cheloniidae.
UACUCCUUUUCUUUCAACGCUCUGAAGCACACUAAGGGUCACUCCAAAUAGCUGAAGGUUUAUUUUAAACACAAAGAGGUAGUAUUUGUAUCCUGGUUGUCAUUUGUUAAUUGCAGUAAGUUAAUAGGCUUCAUCAUAGUUAUUCACUUCAGAGAAUUUUUAUAAUCAGUCCAAGCCUUAAUGAAUUAAAACUGCUGAUAUGAAUAACAAUAACUGUGAAUCAGAACUUGCAAUGUGAAUGAAAUAUUGAUAUCUUUACACACAUCCUAAAAAAACUAAUCUUCAAACCUUUAUUAUGAACUGAAAUUAUAUUAUAAUAGAAAAAAUUCAUGGUGCUACACAGAUAUAAUGAACACAUCUUAAACUUCUGAGUUAACAUUCUUCUUUUUUCAUUACUUGGUAUCAUUCUCUGUCCUGGAGUUUACAUGAACCAGUUUGCUGCCCCUAUUCCUCCCAUUUUUAAGUCAUUCUUUGAAACUUUCAGAUGUCUUUCCUCUUCCUUAAAUAACUUAAUUGGCCCCAUGCACCCAAUAAGCAAAUUUAUAUUGGGCCCCAUCUCCUUUGUUGCUGUCCCUGAUGCACAGAAGGCUCCCCAACUGUACCUUAUCUCCCCACUCCUCUUAAAAGAGCUCUGGCUUUGUGCUUUGCUCCUCUUCCUGCUCCCAACCUAUGAAAAUAGUCGUGGCCCAACCUCUGCCCUGCCCUUUGCCUCCAUUUUUCCUUCUUUGAAAAAUGUAGGGUCUCAAGUUACUUGGUUCCUCCUCUCCUUCCUCUUAAAAAUCAACUGGUAGCAUCUAGGCUUCUCUGGUUUAGUCCAUCCUGUUAAAGAAGCACCAUGGUAGGGCUAGAGUUCUCCUUGAUCCUCUUUUCAGACUUAACUGUUCCAAAAAACAAACAGAAAACUGGAAACACACCCACUGACAAAGCUGAACUCCACGCUGAACUGUCUCAUUUUGUUGGCUGAUAAGCCCUGCCCCCUUUGUUCUGAGUGUUUGCUUUUAAUUUUUAAGUAAUAAUUGUUGAUCAAAACAAAUUCUUUCUUUUGUAGAACAUUAAGCUUAGUUGACUCUGUAGGUAAAACAGUACAUAUGUACAUGCAGGUUUAUGGAGAUAAGAGUUAAUUGUGAAAAUUAAAUUAAAUCAAAAAGGACUGACAUUUUUUCUUUUUUCUAAUUUAGUAUUUGUGUUGACAGAAUGGAGUUGUGCAUCCAAAGAGAAAGCUAAUAACAUACAGUAUGUUAUGGUUUCAAAUAAUAAAUGUUAUAAUCAUUUUCAUCUCAAUGCUCAUCUGAAGAAUAUACUAUAUUCACUUUAAAGAAAGGCUUUACAGUGGUGAUCACUUACACCGCUUUAGUAAGGGUCUAUUAGCAUUCCUGUUAAAAAUCAGUAUUCUCAGUGUUUAUAACUGAGUUUAAAUACAUUGCUACAGAUUGAAAUUGGCCAUAUGAAACCAGAUUUUCAACUGGGCAUGUACAAAAGUGAUAGGCCAGAAAAAAAUGUGGUUGCAUGUUUUGAUUAGGUUCAGCGGUAGAAAUAGUCAGGAAGCAAAUAGUCACAAAUGAUUGGGCCUUUUAAAUUAUUGAUCUUUUUUACCUCUUGUGUUUUUUUUAUUUGGAAUUUUGGAACAUAUUUAGACAUAAUUGUAGCAUAUAAGUAACUAUUUUAUUUUUUUCUUGCAAGGAAAAAUUUGUCUGUGGAAAACUGAUUUGAUGGAAAUAAUGACUAGCUGCAUUCCUAAAACUUUAUUAUGCAGAGUGGCAUAUAGACUUUGCUUAAUUAUAUGCACUGUGUAUAUGGAAUUUGAUUUGGGCAUUUGAAUCAGUCAAAUACAUAACUGCUGACAUUUCCCGCAUUUACAUAUAUGCCUUCUCAUUUUGCUCUUUGGUCAAGAAGUAGUCUGCCUCUUAUCAUAAUAAUUUAAAAUUGCAUAUCAUUUAAUGCUUUGCCUGCUUAUAUUAAGCUUUAGUCUUUUCAGUAAUUUUGUAAAGGCUGUUGACUUCUUAGGUAGCUAUCAGUUUGUCAUACAUCUAGUUUAAGUGGUCUCCAGUCCUUUUGUUUGUGUGAAUCAAUGUUUUAAUUGCAAAAAGACAACUAUUCUUUCAUUACUAUGGUAACCAAAUAAACCCAGGAUAUAGAAAUGAUUCACACAAAUUUAGAAUAAAGCAAAGAUCUACUGUAUGCUUUAAGUUAACAGCUGAACUAUUGGAAGAAAGAUGAAGUGAGAGGAAUUAAUGUAAAAACAAGUAAGAUAAGACUUGAUUGUAUAAUUGCUGCAAUCCAUAACCUAUACUGAUUGAGUAGAGGUGGUAGAUGAGUCAUUUCUAGCACAAAUAGCAGAAAUAUCCAAAACACAAGAUCUGGUAAUAAAGGGGGACUUAAUUAUUGAGACAUCUGUUGGAAAAGUAGUACAGCAAAACACAAAAUUUCCAAUAAGUUUUUGGAAUGUAUUGUUUCAGAAAGCAGACAAAAUAACCAGGGGAACAGCCAUUUCAGACUUGAUUCUGACCAACAUGGAAGAAUCAGUUGCACAUCUGAAGGUAGAAGGCAAUUUGGCUGAAAGUGGUUGUGAAAUAAUGGAUUUCAUGUUUCUAAGGAAAGGAAGAAGUGAAAGUGGCACAAUAAAGACAAUGGACUUCAAAAAAGCAGACCUAAAUAACUUAGACACUGGCAGUGGCCGGUGCCAGAUGCCUCAGAGGGAAUGAACAGAACAGGGCAGUUUAUCAAGUGGUUCACGUCUGUCGUCCAGACCCAGCUUCUGGCAGUCAGAGGUUUAGAGACAUCCAGAGCAUGGGAUUGCGUCCCUGACCACCUUAGCUAAUAGCCAUUGAUGGACCUAUGCUCCAUAAACUUCUUUAAUUUUUUUUCAAACCCAGUUAUGCAUAGUGCAUAUCAAAAGAACUCUCACCUCUUAGCUCCAUUCAUGAGUAGUCUGAACAGAGCUAUGAGAUUUGUAUUUUAGGUUGGCACUUUGUACUAAAUCUUCCUUCCUUUUCUUGGGUAUAUCUCUUGUUGAGUACCUGACUUCCUGGGCAUCAGGAUUGACAGUAGCAUCACUCACAAUUUGUCAUUAGGGGGUGCUGAGGAGUGUUGUAGUGCACGCUUUCUUCUCUAUCCCCCUCAGCCCACACAAACAGAGUACUGAUAUUGCAAUGGACUCCCUAGUGUUGCUUGGUAGGAUACAGUUGCUCAGAGCUAUUACAAACUAUCAGUUAAAAAACAAAAGCGGCAUUAUAUUACAAUUGGUUGUGUUCCAGCUCGAAAGAACUGCUAUGGUUUAUGAUGACAUAUUACAUAUACGGUACAUACUUUCAUGAAAGUGUUUUAAAUGCUACUAUAACAUCAAAACAAACAAAACUCCUGAAUUAAGACUAACUACAUCCUGAUUUUCAAUCUUUGGCUCACCUUGUUGUCUGUUGGACAUGACAUGUCCUUUUGAGACCUCUGAAAUACCUGGGAAUGUCAGGAUAAGGGAUCUAAGAAUGGUGUGUCAGCCAUCAAUUUUGUGAUUGCCUAUAUUCUCUGGGUUUCUCAGACGCUUAAUGAAAACCGUAGUUAAGAAUGCUUUUGUGAUUUUAUUUUUGCUUUGCUUCAAUUUUUAGGUGAUCCACCUUUUCCCUACCAUUUCAAGAGUUUUCUGUAAAAUGUGUAUACAUGCAUCUGACAACUAAUUCAUUCAUAAUGCUUGUCAGGUUUUUAAAAGAUUAUAUAGCUAAUUUAUAAUAUAAAUGAAAUACCUUUUUCUUUAUUGCAUCCUGGGAUUUGUCUUCAUAAUCUUGUUUAAACAGUUCUUCGAAAAUGUCUGUAUCAUACUCAUAAAGAUUGAGUGACUCUUGUUGAAUUGGAGGUACUAACUUCACCAAAGGCA